This 403-nucleotide unclassified non-coding RNA is filed under the name soil metagenome. RNAcentral's name for it is "partial contains 5.8S ribosomal RNA, internal transcribed spacer 2, and large subunit ribosomal RNA". The stretch from base 1 to 121 matches the Rfam family "5.8S ribosomal RNA", at positions 35 to 154 of the family's 154-position model. The record is from RNAcentral.
GAUGAAGAACGCAGCGAAAUGCGAUAAGUAAUGUGAAUUGCAGAAUUCAGUGAAUCAUCGAAUCUUUGAACGCACCUUGCGCCCUUUGGCUAUUCCGAAGGGCAUGCCUGUUUGAGUAUCAUGAACACCUCAACUCUUUAUGGUUUUCCAUGAAGGGCUUGGACUUUGGGGGUCUUGCUGGCCUUUAGUCAGCUCCUCUCAAACGAAUCAGCUUUCCAGUGUUUGGCAGCGUCACAGGUGUGAUAACUAUCUACGCUUGUGGUUUUCUGCCAGGUAAUCCUCAGUGAUGGGGAUUCGCUGGGGCUUAUAAAUGUCUCUCCUCAGCGAAGACAGCUUUGUGAACGUUUGAUCUCACAUCAGGUAGGACUACCCGCUGAACUUAAGCAUAUCAAUAAGCGGAGGA